UUUGACUUUGAGCUUUAGAUAAAUUAAUAUGAUCACUAUUUUCUUUGCAGAUCAUACUCUCUGUGUUAGGCAUUCUUGGUCGUUGCUUCGGUGCAGGCACCAGUGUUUCUAGAUCAUCAGCCUGCUUUUCACUUUGACAUCUGCUGCUAGCUUUUCGUCUACAAGCUCUUCCAUGAUAAGUUUUCUUCGUUUCGAAUACAAAGCGAUGUUAAAACGUCCCUUUCGCUUGGUUGUAAGUGGAGUAUCCUCAGGUUCGUUGGGAGCAUUUUCUGGAACCGGAGAGCUAGUACACACAAUAAUAUAUCAAAUUAAAGCUGAAAGAAAGGGCUAAAGAACUGUCGUUUUACUUUCUUGAAUUAGGAUCUCUUGAAACAAAAAAAAUAGCUUUUAUAAAGCUUAAACUGCUUCAAAAACAUUGCAAAAUUACUUACCUAAUGACUGUCGUAUCUGAAGAAUCAAUAUCCAUUUGUAUUAAGAGUAAUAUACCAAAAUAAAGAUCAAUUCAAGCUC
Molecule: long non-coding RNA, 510 nt
Organism: Nematostella vectensis (starlet sea anemone)
Lineage: Eukaryota; Metazoa; Cnidaria; Anthozoa; Actiniaria; Edwardsiidae
Exons: 2
Source: RefSeq, a predicted model, not a curated record